GGUUAUGAUGCUAUUGCACCACAUGUGUUUUUCUUUGAAACAAACUUGCUUUGGCGGUGGGCCCAGCCUGCCGCCAGAGGUCUAAACUUACAACCAAUUUUUUAUCAACUUGUCACACCAGAUUAUUACUUAAUAGUCAAAACUUUCAACAACGGAUCUCUUGGUUCUCGCAUCGAUGAAGAACGCAGCGAAAUGCGAUACGUAAUAUGAAUUGCAGAUAUUCGUGAAUCAUCGAAUCUUUGAACGCACAUUGCGCCCUCUGGUAUUCCGGAGGGCAUGCCUGUUUGAGCGUCGUUUCUCCCUCAAACCGCUGGGUUUGGUGUUGAGCAAUACGACUUGGGUUUGCUUGAAAGACGGUAGUGGUAAGGCGGGAUCGCUUUGACAAUGGCUUAGGUCUAACCAAAAACAUUGCUUGCGGCGGUAACGUCCACCACGUAUAUCUUCAAACUUUGACCUCAAAUCAGGUAGGACUACCCGCUGAACUUAAGCAUAUCAAAAGCGGGGAGGAA
Molecule: ribosomal RNA, 509 nt
Filed under: Candida albicans
Lineage: Eukaryota; Fungi; Ascomycota; Pichiomycetes; Serinales; Debaryomycetaceae
Description: eukaryotic LSU rRNA
Rfam family: 5.8S ribosomal RNA (bases 141-294)
Source: RNAcentral